Molecule: ribosomal RNA, 489 nt
Filed under: uncultured bacterium
Lineage: Bacteria
Description: bacterial SSU rRNA
Rfam family: Bacterial small subunit ribosomal RNA
Source: RNAcentral
AGGGAAUAUUGGACAAUGGGUGAGAGCCUGAUCCAGCCAUGCCGCGUGCAGGAAGAAGGCGUUAUGCGUUGUAAACUGCUUUUGCCAGGGGAUAAAACGGCUCUGCGGAGCUAAUUGAAGGUACCUGGUGAAUAAGCCACGGCUAACUACGUGCCAGCAGCCGCGGUAAUACGUAGGUGGCAAGCGUUGUCCGGAUUUAUUGGGUUUAAAGGGUGCGUAGGCGGCCCUGUAAGUCAGUGCUGAAAUAUCCCGGCUUAACCGGGAGGGUGGCAUUGAUACUGCAGGGCUUGAGUACAGAUGAAGUAGGCGGAAUUGACGGUGUAGCGGUGAAAUGCAUAGAUAUCGUCAAGAACACCGAUAGCGAAGGCAGCUUACUAAGCUGUAACUGACGCUGAGGCACGAAAGUGUGGGGAUCAAACAGGAUUAGAUACCCUGGUAGUCCACACCGUAAACGUUGAUGACUCGAUGUUGGCGAUACACAGCCAGCGU